AAGUGGUUCAAAGCUGGGACGUUUAUUAUGGAUUGGAGUUAGUACAUGAUAUGUUUAUUUAUUUGGAUUUAUGGAAUCAUAUAAAUGUUUUUUAGCUGUGGAAUCAUAUGUUUAUCAACAUUCAACAUUAGAGCUCUGUUUAGUGAGAACUUUCGACCAUAGGCACAUAAGAUCUCAAAUAAAAUAAUAAGAUAUAAAAGGUGGAAUCUCUAAUCACUGCAAUGUAUUUUACGAAAAAACUCUAAACCUUUCAUCAUGAGUUUUUUUCCUUCAUAUAAUACAUUGAUUAGUGGUUCCACUUUUCAUCAGAUCUAUUUACUUAAUUAAGAUCUAAUGGCUAGGAUUUUUUUUUUUUCAAGUUUUCACGAAAAGAGAUUUUCACCUAAUAAGCCACUAGCAUAUUUGAGUGGAUCAUUACUCAUACAUGUGUUUUAUGUUACAUGUCACCACGUUUAUAAGUUGUAAUCAAGUGAACCUGUAAACCUGGGUCCAUCUUCUUCCGUAAGAAAAUCUCACUUGUUUUACCGUGUCAGAGCUGUUUGUUUGGCGCCAUUGCUCAACUCAUACUUUUGUUUACUGCCUGCUUGGGGCAACAGACCGCUUUUAGUGGUUUUUGCAGGUUGCUUGAUGGAGAUAGGGGUUCACAUAUCCUCUAGUGAGCUCUUCUACGGUACCCUAGAUUUCAUAUGAGCCGUUUAUUUGUCCUGAUCAAGUGGUUAUAUUAAGUGGUACUCCCUCCUCAAUCUCACGGAGUACUCAGUUAGAAACCACCGGAGUACCACGAGUGGGAGGGAAAAAUUGUAAUUAAAUGAGGGUAACUGGUUUUUGUUUGUAAUUAAAAAAAAUUGUGUGUUCUCUUCGUGGCCAACGGCAGCCACGCCGGCGGAGGGAAGAGGCAGCCGGCGCCGCUCGAUUGAGCGGCCAUGCCAGCGAAGGGGUCAGGCCGCUGCGCCUGCGGGCUGUGGGGCAGACGAAGCCGCCGCGCCGCUCGAUUGGGCCGCCGACGUCUCAAUGGACAUUGCGCUGGUGGAGGAGACAGACUGCC
RNAcentral lists this long non-coding RNA (1045 nucleotides) under Brachypodium distachyon (stiff brome). RNAcentral's name for it is "long non-coding RNA (BDIS_LNC002964)". Lineage: Eukaryota; Viridiplantae; Streptophyta; Magnoliopsida; Poales; Poaceae. The record is from RNAcentral.